ACUCCUACGGGAGGCAGCAGUGGGGAAUAUUGCACAAUGGGGAAACCCUGAUGCAGCCAUGCCGCGUGUGUGAAGAAGGCCUUCGGUUGUAAAGCACUUUCAGUAGGGAGGAAGGUAGUGUAGUUAACACCUGCACUAUUUGACGUUACCUACAGAAGAAGCACCGGCUAACUCCGUGCCAGCAGCCGCGGUAAUACGGAGGGGUGCGAGCGUUAAUCGGAAUUACUGGGCGUAAAGCGCAUGCAGGCGGCCUGUUAAGUCAGAUGUGAAAGCCCGGGGGCUUAACCUCGGAAUUGCAUUUGAAACUGGCAGGCUAGAGUCUUGUAGAGGGGGUAGGAAUUUCAGGUGUAGCGGUGAAAUGCGUAGAGAUCUGAAGGAAUACCAGUGGCGAAGGCGGCCCCCUGGA
Molecule: ribosomal RNA, 406 nt
Filed under: uncultured bacterium
Lineage: Bacteria
Description: bacterial SSU rRNA
Rfam family: Bacterial small subunit ribosomal RNA
Source: RNAcentral